This 1246-nucleotide ribosomal RNA is filed under the name 'Phoenix dactylifera' phytoplasma. RNAcentral's name for it is "bacterial SSU rRNA". It matches the Rfam family "Bacterial small subunit ribosomal RNA", at positions 156 to 1401 of the family's 1533-position model. Lineage: Bacteria; Bacillati; Mycoplasmatota; Mollicutes; Acholeplasmatales; Acholeplasmataceae. The record is from RNAcentral.
ACAGUGGCUAAGACUGGAUAGGAAGAUAAAAGGCAUCUUUUAUCUUUUAAAAGACCUAGUAAUAGGUAUGCUUAAAGAGGGGCUUGCGCCACAUUAGUUAGUUGGUGAGGUAAAGGCUUACCAAGAUUAUGAUGUGUAGCUGGACUGAGAGGUUGAACAGCCACAUUGGGACUGAGACACGGCCCAAACUCCUACGGGAGGCAGCAGUAGGGAAUUUUCGGCAAUGGAGGAAACUCUGACCGAGCGACGCCGCGUGAACGAUGAAGUAUUUCGGUAUGUAAAGUUCUUUUAUUGAAGAAGAAAAAAUAGUGGAAAAACUAUCUUGACGUUAUUCAAUGAAUAAGCCCCGGCUAACUAUGUGCCAGCAGCCGCGGUAAGACAUAGGGGGCGAGCGUUAUCCGGAAUUAUUGGGCGUAAAGGGUGCGUAGGCGGUUAGAUAAGUCUAUAAUUUAAUUUCAGUGCUUAACGCUGUCUUGUUAUAGAAACUGUCUUGACUAGAGUGAGAUAGAGGCAAGCGGAAUUCCAUGUGUAGCGGUAAAAUGUGUAAAUAUAUGGAGGAACACCAGAAGCGUAGGCGGCUUGCUGGGUCUUUACUGACGCUGAGGCACGAAAGCGUGGGGAGCAAACAGGAUUAGAUACCCUGGUAGUCCACGCUGUAAACGAUGAGUACUAAGUGUCGGGGAAACUCGGUACUGAAGUUAACACAUUAAGUACUCCGCCUGAGUAGUACGUACGCAAGUAUGAAACUUAAAGGAAUUGACGGGACUCCGCACAAGCGGUGGAUCAUGUUGUUUAAUUCGAAGAUACACGAAAAACCUUACCAGGUCUUGACAUGUUUUUGCAAAGCUAUAGAAAUAUAGUGGAGGUUAUCAGGGAUACAGGUGGUGCAUGGUUGUCGUCAGUUCGUGUCGUGAGAUGUUAGGUUAAGUCCUAAAACGAACGCAACCCCUGUCGUUAGUUGCCAGCACGUAAUGGUGGGGACUUUAGCGAGACUGCCAAUGAUAAAUUGGAGGAAGGUGGGGAUAACGUCAAAUCAUCAUGCCCCUUAUGACCUGGGCUACAAACGUGAUACAAUGGCUGGUACAAAGAGUUAGCUGAAACGCAAGUUCUUGGCCAAUCCCCAAAAACAGUCCCAGUCCGGAUUGAAGUCUGCAACUCGACUUCAUGAAGUUGGAAACGCUAGUAUUCGCGAAUGAGCAUGUCGCGGUGAAUACGUUCUCGGGGUUUGUACACACCGCCCGUCAAA